This 465-nucleotide ribosomal RNA is filed under the name uncultured bacterium. Its description in RNAcentral is "bacterial SSU rRNA". It matches the Rfam family "Bacterial small subunit ribosomal RNA", at positions 338 to 795 of the family's 1533-position model. The record is from RNAcentral.
CCUACGGGUGGCAGCAGUGGGGAAAAUUGCACAAUGGGCGCAAGCCCGAUGCAGCCAUGCCGCGUGUAUGAAGAAGGCCUUCGGGUUGUAAAGUACUUUCAGCGGGGAGGAAGGCGAUAAGGUUAAUAACCUUGUCGAUUGACGUUACCCGCAGAAGAAGCACCGGCUAACUCCGUGCCAGCAGCCGCGGUAAUACGGAGGGUGCAAGCGUUAAUCGGAAUUACUGGGCGUAAAGCGCACGCAGGCGGUCUGUCAAGUCGGAUGUGAAAUCCCCGGGCUCAACCUGGGAACUGCAUUCGAAACUGGCAGGCUAGAGUCUUGUAGAGGGGGGUAGAAUCCCAGGUGUAGCGGUGAAAUGCGUAGAGAUCUGGAGGAAUACCGGUGGCGAAGGCGGCCUCCUGGACAAUGACUGACGCUCAGGUGCGAAAGCGUGGGGAGCAAACAGGAUUAGAUACCCCCGUAGUC